Molecule: ribosomal RNA, 460 nt
Filed under: uncultured bacterium
Lineage: Bacteria
Description: partial 16S ribosomal RNA
Rfam family: Bacterial small subunit ribosomal RNA
Source: RNAcentral
CCUACGGGUGGCAGCAGUGAGGAAUAUUGGUCAAUGGACGCGAGUCUGAACCAGCCAUGCCGCGUGCAGGAUGACUGCCCUAUGGGUUGUAAACUUCUUUUAUACAGGGAUAAACUCAGGUACGCGUAUCUUUUUGUAAGUAUUUUAUGAAUAAGGAUCGGCUAACUCCGUGCCAGCAGCCGCGGUAAUACGGAGGAUUCAAGCGUUAUCCGGAUUUAUUGGGUUUAAAGGGAGCGUAGAUGGGUUGUUAAGUUAGUUGUGAAAGUUUGCGGCUCAACUGUGGAAUUGCAAUUGAUACUGGCAGGCUUGAGAAUAGUUGAGGUAGGCGGAAUGUAUGGUGUAGCGGUGAAAUGCUUAGAGAUCACGAAGAACACCGAUUGCGAAGGCAGCUUACCAAGCUGCCUCUGACGUUGAGGCACGAAAGCGUGGGGAUCAAACAGGAUUAGAUACCCGAGUAGUC